AUACGGAGGGUGCAAGCGUUACUCGGAAUCACUGGGCGUAAAGCGCGCGCAGGCGGGCUGAUAAGUUGGAUGUGAAAGCCUACGGCUCAACCGUAGAACUGCAUCCAAAACUGUCAGUCUAGAGUGUGGGAGAGGAAGAUGGAAUUAGUUGUGUAGGGGUAAAAUCCGUAGAGAUAACUAGGAAUACCAAAAGCGUAGGCAAUCUUCUGGAACACUACUGACGCUGAGGCGCGAAGGCGUGGGGAGCAAACAGGAUUAGAUACCCUAGUAGUCC
RNAcentral lists this ribosomal RNA (274 nucleotides) under uncultured bacterium. RNAcentral describes it as "partial 16S ribosomal RNA". It matches the Rfam family "Bacterial small subunit ribosomal RNA", at positions 523 to 796 of the family's 1533-position model. The record is from RNAcentral.